Molecule: ribosomal RNA, 261 nt
Filed under: uncultured archaeon
Lineage: Archaea
Description: partial 16S ribosomal RNA
Rfam family: Archaeal small subunit ribosomal RNA
Source: RNAcentral
ACAGUCACACAUUAGAUACCCCCGUAGUCCUGGCCGUAAACGAUGUGGACUUGGUGUUGGAAUGGCUCCGAGCUGCUCCAGUGCCGAAGGGAAGCCUGUUAAGUCCACCGCCUGGGAAGUACGGUCGCAAGACUGAACUUAAGGAAUUGCGGGGAGCACCACAACGCGUGGAGCCUGCGGUUUAAUUGGAUUCAACGCCGGACAUCUCACCAGGGCGACAGCAGAAUGAUGGCCAGGUUGAUGACCUUGCUUGACAAGCUG